Molecule: ribosomal RNA, 497 nt
Filed under: uncultured bacterium
Lineage: Bacteria
Description: partial 16S ribosomal RNA
Rfam family: Bacterial small subunit ribosomal RNA
Source: RNAcentral
GACGAACGCUGGCGGCGUGCCUAAUACAUGCAAGUUGAGCGCUGAAGGUUGGUACUUGUACCAACUGGAUGAGCAGCGCACGGGUGAGUAACGCGUGGGGAAUCUGCCUUUGAGCGGGGGACAACAUUUGGAAACGAAUGCUAAUACCGCAUAAAAACUUUAAACACAAGUUUUAAGUUUGAAAGAUGCAAUUGCAUCACUCAAAGAUGAUCCCGCGUUGUAUUAGCUAGUUGGUGAGGUAAAGGCUCACCAAGGCGAUGAUACAUAGCCGACCUGAGAGGGUGAUCGGCCACAUUGGGACUGAGACACGGCCCAAACUCCUACGGGAGGCAGCAGUAGGGAAUCUUCGGCAAUGGACGAAAGUCUGACCGAGCAACGCCGCGUGAGUGAAGAAGGUUUUCGGAUCGUAAAACUCUGUUGGUAGAGAAGAACGUUGGUGAGAGUGGAAAGCUCAUCAAGUGACGGUAACUACCCAGAAAGGGACGGCUAACUACGUG